This 480-nucleotide ribosomal RNA is filed under the name uncultured bacterium. Its description in RNAcentral is "partial 16S ribosomal RNA". It matches the Rfam family "Bacterial small subunit ribosomal RNA", at positions 28 to 523 of the family's 1533-position model. The record is from RNAcentral.
AAUGAACGUUGGCGGCGUGGAUUAGGCAUGCAAGUCGUGCGAUAACCCCGCAAGGGGGGAAAGCGGCGAAAGGGAGAGUAACGCGUGGGUACCUGCCCCUUGGUCCGGAAUAGCUGCGGGAAACUGCAGGUAAUGCCGGAUAAUAUCCUCGGAUCAAAGGUGUGAUUCCGCCGAGGGAGGGGCCCGCGUUCUAUUAGCUAGUUGGUAGGGUAAUGGCCUACCAAGGCGACGAUGGAUACCGGGUGUGAGAGCAUGACCCGGCUCACUGGGACUGAGACACUGCCCAGACGCCUACGGGUGGCUGCAGUCGGGAAUCUUCGGCAAUGGGCGCAAGCCUGACCGAGCGACGCCGCGUGCGGGAUGAAGGCCUUCGGGUUGUAAACCGCUGUCGUAGAGGAGGAAAUGCCAUGGGGUUCUCUCCAUGGUUUGACCUAUUCUAGGAGGAAGGACGGGCUAAGUUCGUGCCAGCAGCCGCCGUAA